GCCGGAAUAGCUCAGUUGGUAGAGCAGGGGACUGAAAAUCCUCGUGUCA
Molecule: transfer RNA, 49 nt
Filed under: Drepanolejeunea sp. Zhu & Wei 20110419-5
Lineage: Eukaryota; Viridiplantae; Streptophyta; Jungermanniopsida; Porellales; Lejeuneaceae
Description: partial tRNA-Phe
Rfam family: tRNA
About the family: Transfer RNA (tRNA) molecules are approximately 80 nucleotides in length. Their secondary structure includes four short double-helical elements and three loops (D, anti-codon, and T loops).
Source: RNAcentral